Molecule: ribosomal RNA, 458 nt
Filed under: uncultured Pseudomonas sp.
Lineage: Bacteria; Pseudomonadati; Pseudomonadota; Gammaproteobacteria; Pseudomonadales; Pseudomonadaceae
Description: bacterial SSU rRNA
Rfam family: Bacterial small subunit ribosomal RNA
Source: RNAcentral
CACAAGCGGUGGAGCAUGUGGUUAAUUCGAAGCAACGCGAAGAACCUUACCAGGCCUUGACAUGCAGAGAACUUUCCAGAGAUGGAUUGGUGCCUUCGGGAACUCUGACACAGGUGCUGCAUGGCUGUCGUCAGCUCGUGUCGUGAGAUGUUGGGUUAAGUCCCGUAACGAGCGCAACCCUUGUCCUUAGUUACCAGCACGUUAUGGUGGGCACUCUAAGGAGACUGCCGGUGACAAACCGGAGGAAGGUGGGGAUGACGCCAAGUCAUCAUGGCCCUUACGGCCUGGGCUACACACGUGCUACAAUGGUCGGUACAAAGGGUUGCCAAGCCGCGAGGUGGAGCUAAUCUCAUAAAACCGAUCGUAGUCCGGAUCGCAGUCUGCAACUCGACUGCGUGAAGUCGGAAUCGCUAGUAAUCGUGAAUCAGAAUGUCACGGUGAAUACGUUCCCGGGCCUU